GUCCUCCUGGCCCAGCUGGCCAGCCUGGAGAUAAGGGUGAAGGUGGUGCCCCCGGACUUCCAGGUAUAGCUGGACCUCGUGGUAGCCCUGGUGAGAGAGGUGAAACUGGCCCUCCAGGACCUGCUGGUUUCCCUGGUGCUCCUGGACAGAAUGGUGAACCUGGUGGUAAAGGAGAAAGAGGGGCUCCGGGUGAGAAAGGUGAAGGAGGCCCUCCUGGAGUUGCAGGACCCCCUGGAGGUUCUGGACCUGCUGGUCCUCCUGGUCCCCAAGGUGUCAAAGGUGAACGUGGCAGUCCUGGUGGACCUGGUGCUGCUGGCUUCCCUGGUGCUCGUGGUCUUCCUGGUCCUCCUGGUAGUAAUGGUAACCCAGGACCCCCAGGUCCCAGCGGUUCUCCAGGCAAGGAUGGGCCCCCAGGUCCUGCGGGUAACACUGGUGCUCCUGGCAGCCCUGGAGUGUCUGGACCAAAAGGUGAUGCUGGCCAACCAGGAGAGAAGGGAUCGCCUGGUGCCCAGGGCCCACCAGGAGCUCCAGGCCCACUUGGGAUUGCUGGGAUCACUGGAGCACGGGGUCUUGCAGGACCACCAGGCAUGCCAGGUCCUAGGGGAAGCCCUGGCCCUCAGGGUGUCAAGGGUGAAAGUGGGAAACCAGGAGCUAACGGUCUCAGUGGAGAACGUGGUCCCCCUGGACCCCAGGGUCUUCCUGGUCUGGCUGGUACAGCUGGUGAACCUGGAAGAGAUGGAAACCCUGGAUCAGAUGGUCUUCCAGGCCGAGAUGGAUCUCCUGGUGGCAAGGGUGAUCGUGGUGAAAAUGGCUCUCCUGGUGCCCCUGGCGCUCCUGGUCAUCCAGGCCCACCUGGUCCUGUCGGUCCAGCUGGAAAGAGUGGUGACAGAGGAGAAAGUGGCCCUGCUGGCCCUGCUGGUGCUCCCGGUCCUGCUGGUUCCCGAGGUGCUCCUGGUCCUCAAGGCCCACGUGGUGACAAAGGUGAAACAGGUGAACGUGGAGCUGCUGGCAUCAAAGGACAUCGAGGAUUCCCUGGUAAUCCAGGUGCCCCAGGUUCUCCAGGCCCUGCUGGUCAGCAGGGUGCAAUCGGCAGUCCAGGACCUGCAGGCCCCAGAGGACCUGUUGGACCCAGUGGACCUCCUGGCAAAGAUGGAACCAGUGGACAUCCAGGUCCCAUUGGACCACCAGGGCCUCGAGGUAACAGAGGUGAAAGAGGAUCUGAGGGCUCCCCAGGCCACCCAGGGCAACCAGGCCCUCCUGGACCUCCUGGUGCCCCUGGUCCUUGCUGUGGUGGUGUUGGAGCCGCUGCCAUUGCUGGGAUUGGAGGUGAAAAAGCUGGCGGUUUUGCCCCGUAUUAUGGAGAUGAACCAAUGGAUUUCAAAAUCAACACCGAUGAGAUUAUGACUUCACUCAAGUCUGUUAAUGGACAAAUAGAAAGCCUCAUUAGUCCUGAUGGUUCUCGUAAAAACCCCGCUAGAAACUGCAGAGACCUGAAAUUCUGCCAUCCUGAACUCAAGAGUGGAGAAUACUGGGUUGACCCUAACCAAGGAUGCAAAUUGGAUGCUAUCAAGGUAUUCUGUAAUAUGGAAACUGGGGAAACAUGCAUAAGUGCCAAUCCUUUGAAUGUUCCACGGAAACACUGGUGGACAGAUUCUAGUGCUGAGAAGAAACACGUUUGGUUUGGAGAGUCCAUGGAUGGUGGUUUUCAGUUUAGCUACGGCAAUCCUGAACUUCCUGAAGAUGUCCUUGAUGUGCAUCUGGCAUUCCUUCGACUUCUCUCCAGCCGAGCUUCCCAGAACAUCACAUAUCACUGCAAAAAUAGCAUUGCAUACAUGGAUCAGGCCAGUGGAAAUGUAAAGAAGGCCCUGAAGCUGAUGGGGUCAAAUGAAGGUGAAUUCAAGGCUGAAGGAAAUAGCAAAUUCACCUACACAGUUCUGGAGGAUGGUUGCACGAAACACACUGGGGAAUGGAGCAAAACAGUCUUUGAAUAUCGAACACGCAAGGCUGUGAGACUACCUAUUGUAGAUAUUGCACCCUAUGACAUUGGUGGUCCUGAUCAAGAAUUUGGUGUGGACGUUGGCCCUGUUUGCUUUUUAUAAACCAAACUCUAUCUGAAAUCCCAACAAAAAAAAUUUAACUCCAUAUGUGUUCCUCUUGUUCUAAUCUUGUCAACCAGUGCAAGUGACCGACAAAAUUCCAGUUAUUUAUUUCCAAAAUGUUUGGAAACAGUAUAAUUUGACAAAGAAAAAUGAUACUUCUCUUUUUUUGCUGUUCCACCAAAUACAAUUCAAAUGCUUUUUGUUUUAUUUUUUUACCAAUUCCAAUUUCAAAAUGUCUCAAUGGUGCUAUAAUAAAUAAACUUCAACACUCU
RNAcentral lists this long non-coding RNA (2371 nucleotides) under Homo sapiens (human). RNAcentral describes it as "long non-coding RNA NONHSAT183286.1". The record is from RNAcentral. Lineage: Eukaryota; Metazoa; Chordata; Mammalia; Primates; Hominidae.